RNAcentral lists this long non-coding RNA (248 nucleotides) under Panax ginseng (ginseng). RNAcentral's name for it is "long non-coding RNA (PGIN_LNC017922)". Lineage: Eukaryota; Viridiplantae; Streptophyta; Magnoliopsida; Apiales; Araliaceae. The record is from RNAcentral.
UAAGACCCCAAAUAAUUAAUAAAUGAAAUUUAAUUUCCUCUAAUUAUUAUUUUGAAAUAGUAAGGGUUGAUGUGAUUAAUGUGGAUAGUUAUGGGUAAAAUACGCAAAUAUUUCAAAAUAAGCAAGUGGUUAUUAAAUAUUCAUUGUUGUCGGGGAAUAUUCGUUGGUCGUGGAAUAUUCGUACUGUCGGGGAAUAUUCGUACGACGGCGCAGCCAUGUGUGGGCCCCAUAACGAAAAGCGAUUGGAG